CCGAGUUCAUGCCCCCCUAGUGGGGUAGAUCUCCCACCCUUUGUGUAUUUUACUUUUUGUUGCUUUGGCAGGCCGCUGGGCUACAAGCCUGGCCACCGGCUCCUUGGAGCUGGUGCGCGCCUGCCAGAGGACCCCCAAACUCAUGUUUGUCAGUGUUGUCUGAGUACCAUUGCAAAUCGUUA
Molecule: unclassified non-coding RNA, 182 nt
Filed under: uncultured Dothideomycetes
Lineage: Eukaryota; Fungi; Ascomycota; Dothideomycetes
Description: sequence contains ITS1
Source: RNAcentral